Molecule: unclassified non-coding RNA, 363 nt
Filed under: fungal sp.
Lineage: Eukaryota; Fungi
Description: partial internal transcribed spacer region
Rfam family: Eukaryotic small subunit ribosomal RNA (bases 1-46)
Source: RNAcentral
AAGUCGUAACAAGGUUUCCGUAGGUGAACCUGCGGAAGGAUCAUUAACACGUAUCCAACGUUAAACCCCCCGUGAACCUUCAGUGCGCUCGCACUUUCUUAGAAAAGGUAGCAAUCCCUGGUAAAUCAUUGCCGAACAGUUUUGAUUCAGGGACUUCUGCGUAGACUGUGCUUGAGCGUGAGGCAAGUGGCCUGGCAUUCCUCUGCUUGUUGGUGUCUGAAAGUGUCACCAGCUCUGUACACGGCCGGCGACCGGGUCACUGGGCGCGAGCCCCCCUCGUCACCUUUGCAUGAAAACGGGCCUGCGCUUAAUUGUGCGGCCACCAAACUCGAACAACUGUUAACAAUGGAUAUCUUGGUUCUC